This 2304-nucleotide long non-coding RNA is filed under the name Triticum aestivum (bread wheat). RNAcentral describes it as "long non-coding RNA (TAES_LNC004012)". The record is from RNAcentral. Lineage: Eukaryota; Viridiplantae; Streptophyta; Magnoliopsida; Poales; Poaceae.
GCAGUAAAGUCACUUUAUUUGGUACAUUAAAGUUCCAAACCUGAAUUUAAUUUCCAUUUGACUGCAAUCCUCGGUAUUAUAUGUUCUGUCUCUACAAAGAAGAAACGCAGUCCACAAAGGACACAGACCUUAUUGAGCUUAGGGAAAAACAAUGUAUAUAGUUCUCUUCUAAUUGCAUAAAUAUAGUCUUCUCUCUCUCACUAGUUUUCAUAUAUAAGCUCUCGACUGAGUUCCGCUCGGUGUCCAAAACUUUCAUAUCUAAACCAUGACUGCGCCAGUGCCUUCUCUCAUCUACCGACGCGGCGGGGGUCUCCUCCCGCCUGGAGCUUGAUCUUCCUCGUCGGAUUCGACGUCUCCAUACUGCCACAGCCGCAGCCUUUCCUUCUUCGCCUUCUCCUGGAACUGUUCCAGGUUCUCGAGAGCUGUCUUCCUCUCCUUGGUGUCCCAUCUCUUGCCCCUUUCAAGUCGGGCAAGCCCUUCCUGCAAACAUUAGCAUGAGCAUGUUAGGGAUGAAGUUGACUAUUCCCAAACACAUAAAUAUGCAUCUAAGCUGGGAUAGGAAAUAAUGCUAAUAAUACUGAAUUCAUUGAAUAUAACUCGCACGUCGACCUCAAAAAGUAACUCAGACGUCAGAUAAACCAGAGUAGCUGGUAACUGAGACGAUGUUUCCAUAACCCUCAGAAUCCAUAUACACCACAAAACAUACUUAAGGUAGGUAGGAACUAGCGGAUAACAAUCCUAAUGUAUAGCAUUUCCGAAGCUACAUUUCCAAAAAAAACAUGGAGGGUCUAAACACUACUGUAUAAUUUUCAUGAUCAAUAUUAAAAAAAAUAUGACUAAUUCUGAGUGAUUGUGUAAAACUACUCAAACUGCUUAAGCAAUAUCCUCCAAACUAUUUUCAUAGCAAACUAUUUCUAUAAAGAAAGCUCCUCAUGGAAAGAUCAAAGCAGACCAUGCAGAACCCCGCCAGCCAGUAAACAAAGCUAACCAGCAAUUCAUAAUGCAUAACAGUUAAUAGCACAAACCUCGAGCAUGGCAGCAUUGAUGCUGGAUUCUGUCUCUGGAUCAACAAGAGUCACAAUGAGUACAGGUCCAGUGCCUUGUCCCUUCACUUUACCACCAGUAGUGUCGCGCUCUUCGAUCAUUGCCCGGUAUUGUUUUGAACUGCUCAGCAAGCAUUCGCUGAGAUACUCUGCUGCUUCCUGACCAUUAUCAUCCUCCAGACCAGGCACCUUUAUGAAGGCAAGGCUGCAGAGCUGAGCAAGAGGAGGAGAGGAGGAUACUGAUGGGUCUGCAGGCCGGAUGCGGUUGUAAGGAACCACUUCUUGGUUGCCAAAAUCAAUGUAGAAUACUUCAAAUUUGUCAUCUACAGACUCUACAGCUCCUCGGGGUCCAUUAACAAUCUGCAGGAAUUAUGAUGGAAAUUCUCCUUAGGAUACUGUACGAUUUUAUUAUAAACAAAUAUGUAAAACUAAUUAGUCAUCAUGAGAAGAACAAAUAUUAGCAUGUAGCAUUGCACUGAAGUGGGACAUCAUGCGCGUAUUUUCAACAAUACUGUCAACUUGGCAAGAUACUGCUAAUAGUAUUGUCAUGUGCACUGUUAGGUACUCAAGUCUGACACUCGGCAUGUAUCACUUCACCUAAAUGAUCCUAACAAGCACACCAAUUCUUAAGGUCCAGCAGCUUAAGUAGAAACUGAUAUUUGUUAAAUGCGUCAAGUUAAACGGCUAAUGACAGGUCUAAGUAUCUAUUAAAGAUAUUGCUGAAAUCAGAGUCUGAAUUUAAUAGCCAAUCUAUGACCUUGAUACAAGAAUAAUUAGUUAGUUUUAAUAUGAGUGAAUUAACUGUAGUCAUACCAUGGCUCUAUUCCAAGAGUUGUCGAGGCUAAACUGAGCAAGGACUAUCUCUCCCUUCCCAGGAUUAAAAGCACCAAUGACUGGUGCCUCCUUAAGUUUCAAGGAUGCAAGCUGUUGUUGGAUGGAAGCUACUCUCUGGUCACCUACUGUCUGGGCAUAGAACUUUCCACCACCAAGAACUUCAGUAGCAACAACCUGAACUCAGGUAACAGAGCCAUGUCAGCACUGUUUUAGUAACGACAAAAAUCAACUACUUCCAAUGUUUUUUCAUCAACGAACCUUCAGAAUUUCCUUUUGUUUGGAUUCAGAGGCCGACCCAUUAGUAACUUCUUCACCCUCGACAUAGUUCUCCCAUAUCUUGAUAAAUAGGUGUCAGUAACAAAAAAAAACAAUUAUGUACUUCCUAAAAGAUGUAGCAGUAUAACAGGUUACCUUCAGUUUCUGCUGC